UCCGUGGGCUGAGAUUCAAGAGCUGGCCGAUACUUGGCUUACCGUUGCCUUGGAGCGGCAUUACCAGGUUCCGGUGCAGUCGGAUCCACGAACAAGUACCCUCUACGAGCUUCUCUUUGACUCUUGUUGGGAUCGGGCCUGUGAGAUUCUCGGCACUGCUCAGGCUCGGGCUGCCCAGCGUUUAAAGAAUCUUAAGAUAUGGCUCUCGGCCGAUUUCUGCCUGUCAAGACUCUUUCUUGAGGCCCCUUGUCCAGUGGCUCCCCGUAUGUUUCAAUAUGGGGAUGACCCUCUUGAAUAUCUAAGAUAUCUGAUCGGGGAUUCUACGCUUGGUGACGAGAUCGUUGACGCCCUUACUUGGUACGAGUACUUCGAGUAUGUACGCGGUGAUGCUCCCUAACUCGUCGUUUUCGCUGACCCCGCGGAGAAGGAGAUAAGGCUCUUGGUGUUCGAGCGCCACUAUGAAAAAGGGGUUUUUCCGUCUUUUAUUC
Molecule: long non-coding RNA, 488 nt
Organism: Diachasma alloeum
Lineage: Eukaryota; Metazoa; Arthropoda; Insecta; Hymenoptera; Braconidae
Exons: 3
Source: RefSeq, a predicted model, not a curated record